Molecule: long non-coding RNA, 1154 nt
Filed under: Capra hircus (goat)
Lineage: Eukaryota; Metazoa; Chordata; Mammalia; Artiodactyla; Bovidae
Description: lncRNA (ENSCHIG00010003942.1)
Source: RNAcentral
UCCGGGAAUUGGUGAUAGACAGGGAAGCCUGGAGUGCUGCAGUCCAUGGGACUGCAAAGAGUUGGAUAUGACUGAGCAACUGAACUGUUUUACUGAGUGUAACUAUCUCCUAAAAGCCCUGAGCACUUUCAUUUUUGCAUUUUAGGAAUAGGGGUUAAAAUAUCAUCCAUUGCAUGUGGACAUUGUAAAGAUAAUAUGAAGCAAUGUGUGAGGAGUACGCUACUGCAUGUUAGGCUGAGGGACAGGGAGUUAGGAUGCUCCUGAUUCUAAUGAAUUUGUGAAGAAUUGCCAUACCAAGGCCUGGCCUGACCACCUCCAGAUGUCUUCCACUUGAGAGAUAAACCCUCAAGUGUUUAAAUCAUUAUCAUUUUGAAUUCUUUUUUUUUUCCCCCACUGGGAGCCAAAUCCAAUCCUGAUUUGUUUCGUACAGGCAUAACAGCACAUAUUAUUUGAUGAACAUGCUGGAGAGGAAACAUGAAUCUUUGAGUACGGGGUUGGAGAGGAGCAAUCCUAGCAGUUCCCGACCUGUACCUUUCCAAGUUGGUGUCAUAUGAUCACGAGAGUCUCCCAGAAGCUGAAAUCCUCAGAAAGAACUGCAGCUGGUACUUAGAGUCUUCCAGCCCACAGUGGAAUCUCCCCACCACCUGUCUCCCUUGUUUCUCCCACUCUGUGCACCGUCCCUCUACUUGGAGUCUCCACCGAGAGAACAAUGAUAGGUGAAGAAAAUUGUUUCUAAGAUGAAUCUCUGAAAUAAGCUUUUCUUGGGGAACUGAAAACUUUGCAACCACCAGUGCUAACAUCUGCCUUUGGACCAAAAUAAGUAUAAAGAACAAACAUGUUAGUGUGGACUAAGCAGAGAUUUACAGUGACACCAAAACACCCAGAGACAUGAAACCUCUGCAACUUUCUUUCUCAAUGGCUUCCCAGAACUUUCUCCCAGUGGCACCCCAACUCUCUGAGGCACCUCUGACAAUACCACUGCAUCUUCAAUAGAAAAUAUUAUAUUGAAAAUGGGACUGUGGUGCAUAUGGAACAGUGGUUUCCACUAAAAAUUUCAUUAGCAAUUUUGAGGCCUUCAGCCCAGAGCUUUAUACUUUCCUAAAGCAUGGAAAAAGCAAGAGAGUUCCAGAAAAACAUCUAUUUCUGCUUUGUUG